AUUGAACGCUGGCGGCAUGCUUUACACAUGCAAGUCGAACGGCAGCACGGACUUCGGUCUGGUGGAGAGUGGCGAACGGGUGAGUAAUACAUCGGAACGUGCCCAGUUGUGGGGGAUAACUACUCGAAAGAGUAGCUAAUACCGCAUGAGAACUGAGGUUGAAAGCAGGGGAUCGUAAGACCUUGCGCAACUGGAGCGGCCGAUGGCAGAUUAGGUAGUUGGUGGGAUAAAAGCUUACCAAGCCGACGAUCUGUAGCAGGUCUGAGAGGACGACCAGCCACACUGGGACUGAGACACGGCCCAGACUCCUACGGGAGGCAGCAGUGGGGAAUUUUGGACAAUGGGCGAAAGCAUGAUCCAGCAAUGCCGCGUGCAGGAUGAAGGCCUUCGGGUUGUAAACUGCUUUUGUACGGAACGAAAAGCUUCGGGUUAAUACCCUGGAGUCAUGACGGUACCGUAAGAAUAAGCACCGGCUAACUACGUGCCAGCCGCCGCCGUAA
RNAcentral lists this ribosomal RNA (500 nucleotides) under uncultured bacterium. Its description in RNAcentral is "partial 16S ribosomal RNA". It matches the Rfam family "Bacterial small subunit ribosomal RNA", at positions 30 to 523 of the family's 1533-position model. The record is from RNAcentral.